GCUCGAGUGGCGAAAUCGGUAGACGCAGUGGACUCAAAAUCCACCGGGGUAAAACUCAUGACGGUUCGAGUCCGUCCUCGAGCACCA
This 87-nucleotide transfer RNA is filed under the name Erysipelotrichaceae bacterium. RNAcentral's name for it is "tRNA-Leu". It matches the Rfam family "tRNA". Rfam says of the family: Transfer RNA (tRNA) molecules are approximately 80 nucleotides in length. Their secondary structure includes four short double-helical elements and three loops (D, anti-codon, and T loops). The record is from RNAcentral. Lineage: Bacteria; Bacillati; Bacillota; Erysipelotrichia; Erysipelotrichales; Erysipelotrichaceae.